GGCGAACGCUGGCGGCGUGCUUAACACAUGCAAGUCGAACGGAAAGGCCCUGCUUUUGUGGGGUGCUCGAGUGGCGAACGGGUGAGUAACACGUGAGUAACCUGCCCUUGACUUUGGGAUAACUUCAGGAAACUGGGGCUAAUACCGGAUAGGAGCUCCUGCUGCAUGGUGGGGGUUGGAAAGUUUCGGCGGUUGGGGAUGGACUCGCGGCUUAUCAGCUUGUUGGUGGGGUAGUGGCUUACCAAGGCUUUGACGGGUAGCCGGCCUGAGAGGGUGACCGGCAACAUUGGGACGGAGAUACGGCACAGACUCCUACGGGAGGCAGCAGUGGGGAAUAGUGCACAAUGGGCGGAAGCCUGAUGCAGCAACGCCGCGUGCGGGAUGAAGGCCUUCGGGUUGGAAACCGCUUUCGCCUGUGACGAAGCGUGAGUGACGGUAAUGGGUAAAGAAGCACCGGCUAACUACGUG
RNAcentral lists this ribosomal RNA (468 nucleotides) under uncultured bacterium. Its description in RNAcentral is "partial 16S ribosomal RNA". It matches the Rfam family "Bacterial small subunit ribosomal RNA", at positions 28 to 507 of the family's 1533-position model. The record is from RNAcentral.